Molecule: long non-coding RNA, 1178 nt
Filed under: Physcomitrium patens
Lineage: Eukaryota; Viridiplantae; Streptophyta; Bryopsida; Funariales; Funariaceae
Description: long non-coding RNA (PPAT_LNC003279)
Source: RNAcentral
AGAUUGCUCGAUUGUGUCAACAAUCACUCCGAUCGUACACCAUGUCUGGAUGCUCAUCUUCCACCUGUUGUUGCGGUUCUAGCUGCCAGUGCGACCCUUCAAGUUGCAAGUGCAGGUCCUUGGCUGAGCCCACCUUCGGUGGCCUUCGCAAGUGUGUCUCUGCUCUCUUCUGCCCUUCGUGUUCCAGAUGAAAUUGUGUGAACUCUCUCGCGGAAUUCUGCAAUUCGAUAUGUUAGAUUGUUCUCAGGGGUUUUCCUUUUGCUUGAAGUCUCAGAUGGGUAGAAUUGUGGAAAAGGGUUGGUCAUCGGGACAUGGUUCUAACGUGUUGCGAUCCUUGACUGUGUGUGUGAAUUGUCCAGCUACAACGCAGAGAACGACUGCAAAUGUGGACCCGGCUGCAGCUGCGCCGACUGCGACUGCCACAAAUGAAGACCUCCGUCGUCUCUCACGACGGUUUGGAUCGGGAGGGGCUUAACCUUGGCGUGAGCUUCCUCAUCAGUUGUGUGUAAGAUUCGUCAGGAAAGACAAAAAAAAAGUAUCGAAGCUUCCAAGCUAUGGCUACCGCUCUAUUAGGAGUAAAUCGCCACUCUUUUCGGGGCAGAGAAACCAUAGCAAUUAUCAAUAAUAAUCAUCAUCAUUGUGAGUAGUUGCAUCCGAGCGGCAGCUGCCUGUGCUUGUUUUUCGAUUUGCAAUUGCUCAGUAAAGUUUGCUCUCAAUUAAAUUCUGAACUUUGCUGCCUCCGAUCCAUCCCCUGACUGAUGUGAAACUGGUCCAACGUUCAUCAUGUGGUUCAUCUGUCUCAUACUUUUGUGAAUCCCCGAUCGUAUUAGUCUGCUUCCAGCCGGCGAAUUCUGCAUCACAUCGAUCUGCUGUCCGCUCAGUCACGAUUUGCUUUCCUGCGCUCAGAACGCUACUGCUAGUCUACAGUGAACACGUGAUAGUGUGCUCCGGAAGCAAACGAUCCGGAUUGUGUGAAAAUUCAACUCACAUCCAUCUCCGUCGUGUAUCCGGGAGUCAUUCUAGCACAAAAUAUUCUGCUUUCAAUGUAGCGUUUAGGUUUCUGUGUCGUUUGAUUCUUGCUGUACUACAUAUCAAAAGUAAGAGUGAGUUCUUUUUAUAAUAUUUAAGAAGCUGAUUAUUUUUUGUACUGUUAAGAUCCCAAUGGUGUAAUGAAUAUG